AUGGAGCCUGCCUGUCUGGCGAUGGGGUGGGAGUCGGAUAGGCGCGCGGCGGUGAUUGUGCAGUCACGGAGACAGCUCUGCAGUCCCGAUGGUGUCGCUGCUGCGGUGGUUCCAUUCCGGCGGCAUCGUGGGCGCGUUCAAAACAGGGCUCGUCCAUGGGGUGGCCCGCCCAUCAAGACAGAGGCAUAUUAUCAAGAGAUCAUCAACAUAGAUGUGCGUUUCUCGCAAUGGAUUACUGGGAAGAUGAAGCAAUGGCCCUCUUCCCUCUCCGUCAAUACAGUUUUACAGGCUAAUCAGCUGGCACCUUAG
This 309-nucleotide ribosomal RNA is filed under the name Triticum aestivum (bread wheat). RNAcentral's name for it is "partial small subunit ribosomal RNA". The record is from RNAcentral. Lineage: Eukaryota; Viridiplantae; Streptophyta; Magnoliopsida; Poales; Poaceae.